AGCACCGGAAGAAAGAAACGACAGAGGGCGGCAUUGAGAAAUCAAAAUCGCUGGAAGCUUCGAAUCUCCUCUCUAGAGAGAGAGUGAGAGAGAGAGAGUCCACCGCUUCUCAACAUCCCACUGCUCAAACCCUAGAAAAAACGCUAACCUGAAAAGGACGUCCUAUAAUUAGAAAAAUCUUCUCCCUUUUCCCUCUCUCUCUCUAACCUUUCCUCUUUUAGAGCCUGUGAUCUUCGUUCUUGAAGGAUUUCUGCCGCAGAUCCCGCUCCGGAAUCGAUGUUCCAGCUCUCGGAUUUUCUUUUCUGAGAGGUUUAGCUCCAAUAUCUGGUUGCAGGAAUUAGCCUUUUGGGAUGCUUGUUGAUGUCAUGAUACUUAUUUAUAGUGGGGUCCUUAUCUUCAUCGGUUCGGAUCACUGACCCAUGUAUAAUUUCACCUAUUUAGUUCCUUAUAGUAAUAAUUUCACCAAUGAAGAUAAGGACCCCACUAUAAAUGGACAAUAAAUUAAAAAAAAUUAUGAGGAUGUCGAUAUUGAUGAUGAACUAGACCCUGCGAUGAAGGAAGAACUCGACAGAUUUCCAUGUGGUAGGAUAAGAUCGUGUUGUUCGUGAUGGAAUCUCAGCAAGCUCAAUCUCAAUCGCAGUCGUCAUCUGUUAGAAGCCACACCGCGCUACCUCUUGUCGAAAGAAGAAAUCAGAGGAAGCUAGUUUCUUGGCUGAUCUAAGGGAUCACAUUGAUGAAUUUGUUCAUGCUUCCAUGGACAAACACAAGACACGCUUUACGAAGACCAUUCAAAAGAUGUUUGGAAUGUCGAAGGUUGUUGCUGAAAGGAAUUUCGGUCUUAAUGAAGUUGAAAGUUCUCUGCCUCUUCAAACAAUAGUCUCAGAAAAAUAAUGCAGAAGAAGAUGGACGGGCAAUGUUAUCUCAGGGUCUGCCAAGCACAACGGCACCGGUGAUGACGGACGCAACCAUGAAUUUGUAUUAUUUGUAGAACUUAAUGUUGUGUAACAGUUUGAUUAAGUUAAACUUUAAAUAGACUGUUGUAAACUGUUUUGUUGGUAUUGUGGCUUUCAUGAUUGAUUGUUUCA
This is a long non-coding RNA of Magnolia sinica, 1085 nucleotides long. RefSeq lists it as uncharacterized. The transcript has 5 exons. The record is from RefSeq and is a predicted model, not a curated record. Lineage: Eukaryota; Viridiplantae; Streptophyta; Magnoliopsida; Magnoliales; Magnoliaceae.